RNAcentral lists this ribosomal RNA (253 nucleotides) under uncultured bacterium. RNAcentral's name for it is "partial 16S ribosomal RNA". It matches the Rfam family "Bacterial small subunit ribosomal RNA", at positions 524 to 776 of the family's 1533-position model. The record is from RNAcentral.
UACAGAGGUCUCAAGCGUUGUUCGGAUUCAUUGGGCGUAAAGGGUGCGUAGGUGGCGCUGUAAGUCGGGUGUGAAAUUUCGGAGCUUAACUCCGAAACUGCAUUCGAUACUGCGAUGCUUGAGGACUGGAGAGGAGACUGGAAUUCAUGGUGUAGCAGUGAAAUGCGUAGAGAUCAUGAGGAAGACCAGUGGCGAAGGCGGGUCUCUGGACAGUUCCUGACACUGAGGCACGAAGGCCAGGGGAGCAAACGGG